Molecule: ribosomal RNA, 967 nt
Filed under: uncultured Lactobacillus sp.
Lineage: Bacteria; Bacillati; Bacillota; Bacilli; Lactobacillales; Lactobacillaceae
Description: bacterial SSU rRNA
Rfam family: Bacterial small subunit ribosomal RNA
Source: RNAcentral
UGAAGAUCGGAGUGCUUGCACUCUGUGAAACAAGAUACAGGCUAGCGGCGGACGGGUGAGUAACACGUGGGUAACCUGCCCAAGAGAUCGGGAUAACACCUGGAAACAGAUGCUAAUACCGGAUAACAACAGAUGAUGCCUAUCAACUGUUUAAAAGAUGGUUCUGCUAUCACUCUUGGAUGGACCUGCGGUGCAUUAGCUAGUUGGUAGGGUAACGGCCUACCAAGGCGAUGAUGCAUAGCCGAGUUGAGAGACUGAUCGGCCACAUUGGGACUGAGACACGGCCCAAACUCCUACGGGAGGCAGCAGUAGGGAAUCUUCCACAAUGGACGCAAGUCUGAUGGAGCAACGCCGCGUGAGUGAAGAAGGGUUUCGGCUCGUAAAGCUCUGUUGUUGGUGAAGAAGGACAGGGGUAGUAACUGACCUUUGUUUGACGGUAAUCAAUUAGAAAGUCACGGCUAACUACGUGCCAGCAGCCGCGGUAAUACGUAGGUGGCAAGCGUUGUCCGGAUUUAUUGGGCGUAAAGCGAGUGCAGGCGGCUCGAUAAGUCUGAUGUGAAAGCCUUCGGCUCAACCGGAGAAUUGCAUCAGAAACUGUCGAGCUUGAGUACAGAAGAGGAGAGUGGAACUCCAUGUGUAGCGGUGAAAUGCGUAGAUAUAUGGAAGAACACCGGUGGCGAAGGCGGCUCUCUGGUCUGUUACUGACGCUGAGGCUCGAAAGCAUGGGUAGCGAACAGGAUUAGAUACCCUGGUAGUCCAUGCCGUAAACGAUGAGUGCUAAGUGUUGGGAGGUUUCCGCCUCUCAGUGCUGCAGCUAACGCAUUAAGCACUCCGCCUGGGGAGUACGACCGCAAGGUUGAAACUCAAAGGAAUUGACGGGGGCCCGCACAAGCGGUGGAGCAUGUGGUUUAAUUCGAAGCACGCGAGAACCUUACCAGGUCUUGACAUCCAUAGCCAGUCUAGGAGA